AGCGCAGGCGGGAAGACAAGUUGGAAGUGAAAUCCAUGGGCUCGACCCAUGAACUGCUUUCAAAACUGUUUUUUCUUGAGUAGUGCAGAGGUAGGCGGAAUUCCCGGUGUAGCGGUGGAAUGCGUAGAUAUCGGGAGGAACACCAGUGGCGAAGGCGGCCUACUGGGCACCAACUGACGCUGAGGCUCGAAAGUGUGGGUAGCAAACA
This 208-nucleotide ribosomal RNA is filed under the name uncultured bacterium. Its description in RNAcentral is "partial 16S ribosomal RNA". It matches the Rfam family "Bacterial small subunit ribosomal RNA", at positions 568 to 774 of the family's 1533-position model. The record is from RNAcentral.